AGGAUGAACGCUGGCGGCGUGCUUAACACAUGCAAGUCGAACGGUGAAAGAGAGCUUGCUCUCUGGAUCAGUGGCGAACGGGUGAGUAACACGUGAGCAACCUGCCCCUGGCUCUGGGAUAGCCUUCGGAAACGGGGAUUAAUACCGGAUAUUCACUGCUUCCUGCAGUGGGGGGUGGUGGUAAAGUUUUUCGGCUGGGGUGGGCUCGCGGCCUAUCAGCGUUGGUUGGGGGGUGACGGCCCACCAAGGCGACGACGGGUA
Molecule: ribosomal RNA, 261 nt
Filed under: uncultured bacterium
Lineage: Bacteria
Description: partial small subunit ribosomal RNA
Rfam family: Bacterial small subunit ribosomal RNA
Source: RNAcentral